RNAcentral lists this ribosomal RNA (253 nucleotides) under Stenotrophobacter sp. RNAcentral describes it as "partial 16S ribosomal RNA". It matches the Rfam family "Bacterial small subunit ribosomal RNA", at positions 524 to 776 of the family's 1533-position model. Lineage: Bacteria; Pseudomonadati; Acidobacteriota; Blastocatellia; Blastocatellales; Blastocatellaceae. RNAcentral also lists the same sequence under 1 other name. The record is from RNAcentral.
UACGUAGGGACCAAGCGUUGUUCGGAUUUACUGGGCGUAAAGGGCGCGUAGGCGGCGUGGUAAGUCACUUGUGAAAUCUCUGAGCUUAACUCAGAACGGUCAAGUGAUACUGCUGUGCUAGAGUGCGGAAGGGGCAAUCGGAAUUCUUGGUGUAGCGGUGAAAUGCGUAGAUAUCAAGAGGAACACCUGAGGUGAAGACGGGUUGCUGGGCCGACACUGACGCUGAUGCGCGAAAGCCAGGGGAGCAAACAGG